GGAAGAUUAAUACUCCAUAAUAUAUUGAACGGCAUCGUUUAAUAUUGAAAGCUCCGGCGGAUAGAGAUGGGCACGCGCAAGAUUAGCUAGUUGGUGAGGUAACGGCUCACCAAGGCAAUGAUCUUUAGGGGCCUGAGAGGGUGACUCCCCCACACUGGUACUGAGACACGGACCAGACUCCUACGGGAGGCAGCAGUGAGGAAUAUUGGUCAAUGGGUGCAAGCCUGAACCAGCCACUCCCGCGUGAAGGACGACUGCCCUAUGGGUUGUAAACUUCUUUUGUAUAGGGAUAAACCUUUCCACGUGUGGAAAGCUGAAGGUACUAUACGAAUAAGCACCGGCUAACUCCGUG
Molecule: ribosomal RNA, 352 nt
Filed under: uncultured bacterium
Lineage: Bacteria
Description: bacterial SSU rRNA
Rfam family: Bacterial small subunit ribosomal RNA
Source: RNAcentral